Molecule: ribosomal RNA, 253 nt
Filed under: uncultured bacterium
Lineage: Bacteria
Description: partial 16S ribosomal RNA
Rfam family: Bacterial small subunit ribosomal RNA
Source: RNAcentral
UACGAAGGGGGCUAGCGUUGCUCGGAAUCACUGGGCGUAAAGGGUGCGUAGGCGGGUUGUUAAGUCAGGGGUGAAAUCCUGGAGCUCAACUCCAGAACUGCCUUUGAUACUGGCAACCUAGAGACUGGAAGAGGUUAGUGGAAUUCCCAGUGUAGAGGUGAAAUUCGUAGAUAUUGGGAAGAACACCAGUGGCGAAGGCGGCUAACUGGUCCAGCACUGACGCUGAGGUGCGAAAGCGUGGGGAGCAAACAGG